AACUAACGAGGAUUCCCCUAGUAACUGCGAGUGAAGCGGGAAAAGCUCAAAUUUCGAAUCUGGCGGCCAUGGGUCGUCCGAGUUGUAAUCUAGAGAAGCGUCUUCCGCGCCGGACCCGUGUACAAGUCUCCUGGAAGGGAGCAUCGUAGAGGGUGACAAUCCCGUCUUCGACACGGAUCCGCCGGUGCUUUGUGAUGCGCUCUCGACGAGUCGAGUUGUUUGGGAAUGCAGCUCAAAUCGGGUGGUAAACUCCAUCUAAAGCUAAAUACAGGCGAGAGACCGAUAGCGAACAAGUACCGUGAGGGAAAGAUGAAAAGAACUUUGGAAAGAGAGUUAAACAGUACGUGAAAUUGCUGGAAGGGAAACGCUUGACGUCAGUCGCGUCGUCCGGGGAUCAACCUUGCUUCUGGCUGGGCGUACUUCCCGGUCGACGGGUCAGCAUCGAUUUCGGCCAUCGCAGAAGGACGGGAGUGAAUGUGGCACUCUUCGCGGAGUGCGUUAUAGCCUCUCGUAUGGACGCGACGGUCGGGAUCGAGGAACUCGGCACGACCCCUCGAGGGUUCGGGGCUUCGGUCCACGCAGCGUGCCAAGGAUGCUGGCGAAUGSYCUUAAGCGACCCGUCUUGAAACACGGACCA
Molecule: ribosomal RNA, 637 nt
Filed under: uncultured Sclerodermataceae
Lineage: Eukaryota; Fungi; Basidiomycota; Agaricomycetes; Boletales; Sclerodermataceae
Description: eukaryotic LSU rRNA
Rfam family: Eukaryotic large subunit ribosomal RNA
Source: RNAcentral